UAUGGGUCUCUAUGGGUCUCUAUGGGUCUCUGUGGGUCUCUAUGGGACUCUAUGUGGCUCAGUGUAUUGCUAAGUGUCUCUAUGCGUUUCUGUGGGUCCCUAUGGGUCACUAUGGGGCAGCUAUGUGUCCCUAUGGGUCUCUAUGGGGCAAUUAUAGGUCUCUAUGGGUCCCUAUUGGUCUCUAUGGGGUUUCUAUGGGUCCCUAUGGGGCUCAGUGUAUCACUAUGUGUUUCUAUGGGUCUCUAUGGGGCAAUUAUAGGUCAUUAUGGGUCUCUAUGGGUCCCUAUGGGGUCUCAAAGUGUCUCUAUGGGGUCCCUAUGGGUCCCUAUGGGUCUCUAUGGGGUCUCUAUGGGUCCCUUUGGGUCUCUAUGGGUCUCUAUGGGGCAUUAUGGGGUCUCUAUGGGUUCCUAUGUGUCCCUAUGGGUCCUUAUGGGUCUCUAUGGGUCCUUAUGGGGUCCCUAUGGGUCUCUAUAUGUCCCUAUGUGUCCCUAUGAAUCCCUAUGGGUCUCUAUGGGGUCUCUAUGGGUCUCUAUGUGUCUCUAUGGGUCCCUGUGGGUCCCUAUGGGUCCCUAUGGGUCUCUAUGGGGUCCCUAUGGGUCUCUAUGGGGUCCCUAUGGGUCUCUGUGGGUCCCUAUGGGUCUCUAUGGGUCCCUAUAGGUCUCUCUGGGUCUCUAUGUGUCCCUAUGGGUCCCUAUGGGAUCUCUAUGGGUCUCUAUGGGUCUCUAUGGGGUCUCUAUGGGUCUCUAUGUGUCCCUAUGGGUCCCUAUGUAUCCCUAUGUAUCCCCAUGUAUCUCUAUGGUUCCCCAUGUAUCCCUAUGGGUCCCUAUGGGUCUCAAUGUAUCGCAAUGGGGCUCAAUGUAUCCCUAUCUAUCUCUAUGGGUCUCUAUGGGGUCUCUAUGGGUCUCUAUGUGUCUCUAUGGGUCCCUAUGGGUCCCUAUGGGUCUCUAUGGGUCCCUAUGGGUCUCUAUGGGGUCCCUAUGGGUCUCUAUGGGGUCCCUAUGGGUCUCUAUGUGUCUCUAUGGGUCCCUAUGAGUCCCUAUGGGUCUCUAUGGGUCUCUAUGUGUCCCUAUGGGGUCUCUAUGUGUCUCUAUGGGUCCCUAUGGGUCUCUAUGUGUCUCUAUGGGUCCUUAUGGGUCCCUAUGGGUCCCGAUGGGUUCCUAUGGGUCCCUAUGGGUCUCUAUGGGUCCCUAUGUAUCCCUAUGUAUCUCUAUGGGUCUCUAUGGGGUCUCUAUGGGUCCCUAUGUGUCCCUAUGGGUCUCUAUGGGUCCCUAUGGGUCUCUAUGGGUCUCUAUGGGUCCCUAUGGGUCCCUAUAGGUCCCUAUGUAUCCCUAUGUAUCUCUAUGGGUCUCUAUGGGUCUCUAUGGGUUCCCCAUGUAUCUCAAUGUAUCUCUAUGGUACUGACGCGAUGAGCCGCACUCUGCCGUUAGGGCGCCCCCUGCCGUUGGCCGCCAGCAGCAGCAGUUCCGGUCGGCCGCCAUCUUGGUUCCGGGACGCGGCACCGACAGCAACGAACGACACGGGGUCACCGCUACGGGUCACCUGGGGGGGUCAAAGGCCCCCAUGCGCUGCCCGCCUCUCGCCUGCAUGAACUCCCCCUCGAUGACGGCGCAGCCGCUGAGCGCUCCGUACUCCCCGCUCUUGCAGGCACUGACGAAGUCGCCCCAUUUGGGUCCUCGGGGUUUCCUUUCAACCGCGUCUCAAAAUGGCGCCGGGGCGGACGGCCAGAUGGCGGCCGGGACAGGGGUGAGGCGGUUAGACACGCCCCCUCCAAUCUCUGACCAAUGGCCAGCGCCGUGCCAGUGUGACCCUUAGUCCGCCCCUUGGGCCAGUAGCAGCGCGGUGUGACCCUUAGUCCCGCCCCCUGACCAAUAGCAGCGCGGCACCGCUGUGACUCUAGUCCCGCCUUUGACCAAUUGGCAGGCGCGGCGUGAGUCUUAGUCCCGCCCUUGGACCAAUGGCAGCACAGCGCUUUUGUACAGAAGUCCCAUCAUCCAAUAGAAUCGCCGAGGCUGAUCUUUAGGCCUCCGCUUUCUCCGAUG
Coturnix japonica (Japanese quail) is the source of this 2039-nucleotide long non-coding RNA. NCBI's taxonomy places the organism in Eukaryota, Metazoa, Chordata, Aves, Galliformes, Phasianidae. The record is from Ensembl.